RNAcentral lists this transfer RNA (70 nucleotides) under Marmota monax (woodchuck). RNAcentral's name for it is "tRNA.Ala". The record is from RNAcentral. Lineage: Eukaryota; Metazoa; Chordata; Mammalia; Rodentia; Sciuridae.
GGACUAGGGCUCAGUGGCAGAGUGCUUGCCUAGCAUGUGUGAGGCACUGGGUUCGAUCCUCAGUACUACA